This is a long non-coding RNA of Agrilus planipennis (emerald ash borer), 311 nucleotides long. RefSeq lists it as uncharacterized. The record is from RefSeq and is a predicted model, not a curated record. The transcript is spliced from 2 exons. NCBI's taxonomy places the organism in Eukaryota, Metazoa, Arthropoda, Insecta, Coleoptera, Buprestidae.
ACAAAGGACCGCAUACUAAAUUUAUUUUUGUUUUAGAGUAUAAGUCCAGGUUUGGUGAUAACUGAAAUACACGAAAAAGCUCAAUUGACAGGGAAAGAAAUUCAAUGGAUACGAAACGAGCCAAUAUUAAACGCUGAUGAUGUAGCUGACGCCGUUUCGUACGUUUUAGGAACACCUCCUCACGUUCAAAUUCAAGAAUUAACAAUAACUCCCAUCGGAGAAAGAAUUUGAUUCUUUUUAAAUUAGUUUGUAGAAAAUUCUGGUUACAAACGUGUUGCAUACAGUAAUUACAUGUCGUUUUAAACAAUUUA